This 303-nucleotide ribosomal RNA is filed under the name uncultured bacterium. Its description in RNAcentral is "bacterial SSU rRNA". It matches the Rfam family "Bacterial small subunit ribosomal RNA", at positions 355 to 656 of the family's 1533-position model. The record is from RNAcentral.
UGAGGAAUAUUGGUCAAUGGGCGGGAGCCUGAACCAGCCAAGUCGCGUGAGGGAAGAAGGUACUGAGUAUUGUAAACCUCUUUUGCCAGGGGACAAAGGCGGCCACGGGUGGCCGUAAGAGGGUACCUGGAGAAAAAGCAUCGGCUAACUCCGUGCCAGCAGCCGCGGUAAUACGGAGGAUGCGAGCGUUAUCCGGAUUUAUUGGGUUUAAAGGGUGCGCAGGCGGCGUGUCAAGUCAGCGGUAAAAUGUCGGGGCUCAACCCCGGCCGGCCGUUGAAACUGGCGUGCUCGAGUUGGAGAGAA